This is a long non-coding RNA of Cyprinus carpio carpio, 1279 nucleotides long. The record is from Ensembl. NCBI's taxonomy places the organism in Eukaryota, Metazoa, Chordata, Actinopteri, Cypriniformes, Cyprinidae.
CCUCACACCUUCUCCAAGCAAUGUCCCUUACACUUUUACCACCACUCCCACACAUCAUCAACACAUCUCUUCUCACAGGCACUUUCCCCACUGCAUUCAAGCAGGCUCGGGUAACCCCACUGAACAACCAACUGGAUCCUAAGCAGUCAGGGUUCAGGAGUGGCCAUUUAACUGAGACUGUGCUACUGUCAGUCACUGAAGCAACCAGAUUGCAAAAGCUGAUUCCAAAUCAUCAGUUCUUAUUUUGCUGGCUCUAUCUGCUGCUUUUUACACAGUGAAUCAUCAGAUCCUCCUGUCCACCCUGUCAUCAUUGGGCAUCACAGGGAUUCCACUUCGCUGGUUUGAAUCCUAUCUCACUGAUGAUCCAACGGUAGCUGAACAGAUCUCAGGCUGCCUGGCGGACAUCUCGGCAUGGAUGAAAGAACAUCACCUACAGCUCAACUUGGCAAAGACUGAUCUUCUAGUGUUCCCGGCCACUCUAAAUCUACAUCAUGACUUCACCAUCUAGUUGGGUUCAUCAACAAUUACCCCAUCAAGUUCGGUUAGAAAUCUUGUUGUAAUCUUUGUUGACCAGCUGACCUUCAAAUACCACAUUGCAAAGACUGCUCGAUCUUGCAGCUUUGCAUUUUACAACAUCAGAAAUAUCAGGCCCUUCCUAACAGAGCAUGCUGCACAACUUGUCAUUUCUAGGCUGGACUAAUGCAAUGCUCUUCUGGCUGGACUUACAUCAUGCACAGUCAAACCUUUACAAGUGUUUCAGAAUGCAGUGGCACGACUGGUUUUUAAAGCCCAAAAGAGCCUACGUCACACCUCUCUUUAUUUACCUGCACUGGUUGCCAGUUACUGCUCGCAUCAAGUUCAAGACACUGAACAGUAUAGAAUAGAACAGCCACUGGCUCAGCACCCGCCUACUUCCACUCACUCUUACAAAAUCUACAUCCCCUCCAGAAGUCUAAGAUCCACUAGUGAGCGAUGCCUUGUGGUACCAUCACAAAGAGGUACAAAAUAACUUUCCAGAACAUUUUCGUUUACCGUUCCUGGCUGGUGGAAUGAUCUUCCAACCCCUGCUGAUUCCCUGACAUUUUUCAAGCAACAGCUGAAAACUCACCUCUUUUGUCACUAUCUGACUUCAUCCUAAAAAAAAAUAAAAUAAAAAAAAUCUUUUUUUCAUCUUUCUCUUUCUAGCUUGUACUUAUUUGAACAAUGCUUGAAAUUUGGUAUGACGAGCACUUCCUGUGUCUUUUUGCCUCUUUAAGAUGAAUCGCAUGAUGUAUUCCCC